Molecule: non-coding RNA, 1312 nt
Filed under: Janus compressus
Lineage: Eukaryota; Metazoa; Arthropoda; Insecta; Hymenoptera; Cephidae
Source: RNAcentral
AUAUUGAUAUAAGAUUUAAAAAGGGAUAUUUCGAGAGUAGUAUGAAAAUCAAAGUUUGAAUCAGAAUCUGUCGGAUAUUUUUAGGGGGAUAUUUCGAGAGUAGUAUGAAAAUCAAAGUUUAAAUCAGAAUCUGUCGGAUAUUUUUAGGGGGAUAUUUCGAGAUUAGGUGUAUGAAAAUUUAAUUUUAAUUUUAAAUUUAUUUAUUAUUUUAAGGUUUAAUUUUUAUUAUAAUUUAAUUUUUGUAUUUACUAUUAUAAUUAUUUAUAUAUUGAGGGAUUGUUAAAGUUAAUUUUUAAGUAAUGAUUUAUUUUAUAAUUUAAAAUUUAAUUCUAAUUUUUUAAUUUAUUGUAAAUUUUAUUUAAUAUAUAAAUAUUAGUUAUUAAUUAUUUAUUUAAAUAAUAAAUAGUUAUAUUUAAUUAUAAUGGGUAGUAUAUAAUUUUAAUAAUAUAUAAAAAUAUUUUUUGUAUUAGAAAUUUUUAUUAAAAAUUGAAAAAAUUUGUGCCAGCAUUCGCGGUUAGACAAAUAUUUAAAUUUAAUUAAAUUAUUUAAAUUUUAAAAUUAUUAAUUAUAUAUUAAUUUAAAUUUAUUAUGUAGAAAUUAAAUUAAGGUGAAAUUUUAUUAUUUUUUUAUAGAUAAAUUUAAUUUUGAUGUUAGUAUAUUUUGAAAAUUUUUUUUUAAACUAGGAUUAGAUACCCUAUUAUUUUAAUUGUAAAUUAUUUAAGUUUUUUUUAUUUUAUAUAAAGUGUUAUUUUUUAUUUUAUUAUUUAUUAUUUAGCGUUUUUAUGAAUUAAUUUAAAUAAGUAUAAAAUUUAAUUUAUUUUUAUGUUAAUUAUUAUUAUUAUUUUGAUUAGGUAGUAUUAGGGAUGGUCUUGAAACUUAAAGAAUUUGACGGUAAUUCAUUCAAUUUAGAGGAACUUGUUUUUUAAUUGAUGGUCCACGAUAAUAAAGACUUAAAUUUUUAUUUAUUUUAUUAUAAUAAAUAUAUUUAUUUGUAUAUCGUCGUUUUAAAAAGAUUUUUGAAGAAUUAGGUAAUUUUUUUAAUAUUAUGAAAAAGAAUUUUUUUUAUAAUAAUAAUUCAGAUCAAGGUGCAGUUUAUGUUUAAGUUAAAAUGAGUUACAAUAAAUUUGAUUUAUUUAUGGAGUUAAAAUUUUAAUUAUUUUAAUGAAGGUGGAUUUAAAAGUAAAUUUAAAUAAUUAUUUAAUUUGAAAAUUGUUUUGAGUUAUGUACAUAUCGCCCGUCACUCUCGCUAUAAAGUGAGAUAAGUCGUAACAAAGUAAGAGUACUGGAAAGUGUUCUUAGAAUUAUUUACAGU